AUAGGUUUAGAAAUAAUAUUCGCUGUUAUAUUCUGAACAACUUUAUUCAUAUAUUUCAGGUUCAGGUUUACAAUUUUUAUUUAUUUCUUAUACGACAUUUUUUUUCAGGCUUACAACCAGUCAUCACAGUGUCUAGGUCAUCGUAGUACUCGUUCAACUUCCAACCACGAAGGGCAGGAGUUACAUGGCAUCGCACGAUUCGUUUACAGAUCCAUCUCUACCGGAACAGGAUGGAGAGGCGUCGAUCUUUGGAGAGACUCGUUGAUGUCCUGAUUCGGUUCCAUCACGAAAUGUUCAUCUACCAAAAAAUUAAAAAAAAUAUCACAAGUACAAUAUAAGUCACGAUGUAUCAAUUUAUCAAUCAAUUAUAUUUAUAUUAUUUUUGUAUCCACGAAUAAAAUCAAUAAAUCUUUCCAUAUCUCACUAGGAAAAGAUAUUGAGUGAAUCAUUUUAAAAUCAUCACGCAAAUCCCUCGAAAUUAUUCGGGAGCUGCAUUUGUCCAUAUGUCCUUCGACGAGUCUUAUAAUAGAAAACGCAAUCAAACUACUAUGGGAAACAGUCGCUCGAGCAAUUUCAAACAUAUUU
Molecule: unclassified non-coding RNA, 585 nt
Filed under: Athalia rosae (coleseed sawfly)
Lineage: Eukaryota; Metazoa; Arthropoda; Insecta; Hymenoptera; Athaliidae
Description: misc RNA ENSAEAG00005003235.1
Source: RNAcentral